Cygnus olor (mute swan) is the source of this 1400-nucleotide long non-coding RNA. RefSeq lists it as uncharacterized. The record is from RefSeq and is a predicted model, not a curated record. The transcript has 2 exons. NCBI's taxonomy places the organism in Eukaryota, Metazoa, Chordata, Aves, Anseriformes, Anatidae.
UGCGACAGGAGCGCAGGGAGCACGCCCCGCCCCGCUGCUGACGAGAGCAGCGCGCAUGCGGGGCCGCUUGCACAUCGCCCCCUCCCCCCCGUCCUCGGCCGUUACUCGGCGCCUCCGCCCGGAGACCGCCCGUCAGUGAGCCGACAGCCGCCCCGCGGGCUCGUCACCGGCCGCCCGUCGCUGCCCCUUCGGUCCCUCCGGCCGUCCCAGUGGUUUCAGAGCCACCGGCGGCGUCCCUGCGACCCGUGAAAGUGCGGCUGGCUGUGCCGCUGCGGGCGGAGGGAGCACACGGCUGCCUGAGGGCAGGACCUGAUAAGAUGCAUCUGAAGGUCCUGAGAGAACUGGCGGAUGAAGUUGCUAAGCUACUGUCCAUCACAUUUAUGAAGUUGUGGCAGUCCGGUGAAGUUCCCACUGAGUGGAAGAGGGAAACAUGACCCCCAGUUUUAAAAAGGGAAAGAAGGAAGACCCAUGGAACUACAGGCCAGUCAGUCUCAGCUCUGUGCCUGGUAAGAUCAUGGAGCAGAUCCUCCUGGAAACUAUGCUAAUUCACAUGGAAAAUGAGGUGACUGGGGACAGCCAACAUGGCUUUGCUAAGGGCAGAUCAUGCCUGACAAAUCUAUGGUGACCUUCCAAGAUGGAAUUACAGAGUUAGUGGAUAAGGGAAGAGCAACUGACAUAAUCUACCUGGACUUGUGUCAAGCAUUUGACAUUGUCCCCCAUGAUAUCCUUGUCUCAAAAUUGGAGAGACGUGGAUUUGAUGGAUGGUCUACUUGGAGGUUAAGGAAUUGGCUGGACGUCUGUGUUGUCCGAUAAAAAGUUAUGAUUCAUUGCCUGAUGUGCAAUAAGUCAAUCUACACACUAGCUCUAGAAAUUAUUUAUUUCAGAAUUGUGCAAGACUGGGUACCAGGUGGUUUCCCACAAAGUUGCUACACAUUCGGACUUUCGAUGCCAUUCUUUAUACAGUACCUUUUCACUACAAAUACAUGUUUGUAUGAACCCCUAGCCUCCAGUUGGUUACAUAAUUCGCACACUGCUGACAUGACAGAAUCAUUCUGUGCAUCCUGAGAGAAGGGUCCCUUGCUAGGAAGGGGUCUCCCAGCCUAGGGGCAUAAAUUCUACUAUAAGAUGAGAGUAGUUCACAGGUAAUUUACAGUAAGAUACUUCUAAUCUUUGUUUUUCAGCCAACUAUUCAUGUUAUGUUGUUUGGUGACUGUUCAAAGGCAUAGUCAGGAUGUCUCCCUCAAGAAUGUCAACAUAAUGGUCUUCCUGAUUAGCAGUUCCUCACUUAAUCAUCCUUUACACAUUGCCAAGGCCUGGGUCAUCUUGCCCUUCCCUUAAAAUAUGUAUUUUUAUCUCUUUCGUACAAAACAGAAUUAAAUAUCUACUGCUAUCAGUUGCAC